AUACUGUAGUUUCUGGACUAUAAGCCGCUAUUUUUUUUUCACACACUUUGAACCCUGAGGCUUAAACAAUGAUGCGGCUACUUUUACGGCUACCGGAGAAGUGGCCAGUUCUUUGAUGAUCAAAAGGUGCACAUUCUAGCCAGAGAGGACAAAUGAUCUGAGAGAGGAGUGAAGGAAGCCAUCCAGAUAAAACUGUAAAGAUCACCUUUGAACACAGGAGGGGGCCUCAGACACCAAUUGUCACCAACAUACAAUGCCGUCCUUAGUUCUCUCCCCAGGAAGUACAGGCAUAACUCACACCUCCAUUCAGGUAACACUAAUGACCCCCACCCAGAGGACAGGGAGAGGGAACGAUCCCUAUGGGGCCAACGACUCACAUGACCAUUUAAAGGUCAUAUUGUUUCAGGCUCUUGGACAUUUUUUUCGACACCACACCCCCUUUUCGGGUGGAUAGAUAAAUACCUAGAAACUCUCCACCAGGACAGUAGAACUGAUGAAGCCUCUUGGAUGAGAGGCGUCUUCAAUUUACUUGAGGUGAGUCCAGUUGCCUACUUUUAAAAUUGCUUUUAAGAUUGUUAUUUUGACCUAGAUGACUGAAAAUAUCCACAAAAUUUGGAGAAAGAAAACCAGGUACAUGCCCAAGUCUAUCCUACACUAAAGAAGCUACAGUGCCUUUUAAAAAGGUUUUAAAACAAAGGCUGUACACUGUGGUAAGCUAAAAUUAGCUGACUGGAUUCCGGUAACCCUUCCUCACCAAGUCUUCAAAACGGGUCAUGUCAAAAGACAGACAUCAGCCACUGAAUUUAAGUUGAUAGUCUUAGACCUUGGGAUCCCAAAGUGCAAUCCCAAUCUCGGGUCGAACUCUGGCUCUUCUUUACUGACUGAACAAGGUCCAAGGGUAAAGGCAGAUUUACACUUGCAGGUACACACCCCAGGUCUGGAUAUAUGUCAUGGGUCAAAGUACUCCUACAGUCAGAUUGAAGAUUUCUCUGGAGAAUGGUGUGGAUUCCCCACUGUCACAGGCUGUUGGGUCCCUGUAGUCACAGAGACUUGAGGAAGACUUGUUUGUAGGGAUAGUUUGGACUUCGCCAGGGCUGCCCCAGCCAAGAGGGGAGAGAGGAUCUCAUUAGUAAUUUAAGAAACCAUCUCUGUUAUCUGUGACUCUGCAAGGCUCUCAACUCUGACUGGUGUGGUUUGUCCUAGUGUUUAGUACAGGAAUAGGAAUCAGCACAUAAUCAUUUUAUGACCAUAGACCUCUGCUGGAAACAGGUGGGAUGUUCACUCAGAGUCAGGGAAGAGCAACUACUCCUAGUCUACUCCUACUUUAUCUAUCUCUAAAGUCCUAUACGUCCAUUACUCUGGAGAAAGAUCGGCGUCAGAGCAAUGGGUGUAUAGGACUUUGGACUUUGUCACACUUGCUAAUACAGGAAUUCAGUAAAAUGUGUCAGUCCAUGACUUGGAGCAUCGCUCAACUACGUGUUACAGAGUCGUAACUUUACAGGUCUGUCACAAUGGUACCUAGGCAACAGAUAUGAAGAUAUGACUCGAUGAGCAAACAAAAAUUAGGAAUUAAAUAUGCCAAGCCUCCUCAAUAGCUAUCCUUCAUGUGUUGUUUUGGGGAAGGGCCAAGAAAAGAGAUAUUUGGGCUUUACUGUUGCUCAGAUAAUUUGCCCAUAUUUCAAUAACAUAUUUUUUACUUUAAAUAGCAUUAAAAUAGGUUUAAAAAGCCAUGUUUUGGCAGCACUUCAAGAUAUACAGUGGAAUUUUGAGAUACAAGUAUAAUCCAUUCCAGGACCAAGCUCGUAACUCAAGGUGCUCAUAUCUUGAAUCACGUUCUCCAAUAAAAAAUAACAAAAAAUAAAUAAAUCGUAAUCCGUUCCGGGAAAAAACAUGUUUUAAAUGGCUAUAGAGACAUACACAUGUGCACACAAAAUUAUAAUAUAUAAGGAUUUGUGUGAUAUAAAAUAAAUGUGGUUUUAAUUAUGAGUUCUUAUCUUCGAGACAGAUACAGUAAUAGCGGCAUGUGCGGAGGAGGGAGGAAGGGAGGGAAGAGAGUUGGCUCGUACGUAGACACUAGAGGCAAAAAUUUGCUUAAUGGCUGGCUUGUAUCUCAAAAUACUCGUAUGUCGAGGUGCUCAUAUCUCGGGGUUCCACUGUAUUUCUAAAUUACAGACAUGACAUGUUUGAAGGUAAAACACUUCUAACCUUUCAAAAGAAACUUGCCACAGACCUAUGGCUAUACGUUUUUCUGGACACAAUCAAUAAGUUCUGUUAUCACAGCUCCGUUGGGACCAAACCCUCAGUGGCUUCCUCCCCUUCCUUCCUUAUAAUGUUAUUAGUGACAAUCUAGUUGUAGUUCCUCAAGUGCUGACAUAAUAUAGCGGCUGUUCAUUUGGUGCUGUGCUUAAUGAGCAGCUGUUGUUGAUAAAAGAGGCCUAAAAGGUGAGUGUAGCAGCAUAGGCGGGGCUACAUAAAAUGGAGGCGGGGCUAUUAUAACCACAGUUUGAAGACAUUUCCAGAUGAUAAAAACUACUAAAUCUUCAGUUUAGCAUUUAAUUCACACACAACACAAAUAGUUUUAGCUUUUGGAUACUAUUUUAUUCUUUGAAAGAAUGGACAUGUAUUUGUACUUAUUAUAAUAAAUUAAAGUAAGACAACAUAUAAAGACAAAUGUAGAAAUGUCUGAAUGCAUCAAACAAAAACAAAGAAAUGUUGUCAUUUAAUGCAUAAGCACAGACAAAAAGAUGUGUUGCGUAGCUACACAAAUGACGUCACUUCAUCACAUCUUCAUGCCACACAGUCAGGUAUUAUUGUUAGUUAUUGAUUAAAGUAACAGUAACGUGAUCAGAUUUGCAGUAAGUGGCUACAAGCAUACACAUGAAAAAAUGUUAUUACGAGACUGCACCAAAAUUAAUAUACAGACAUGGUAUGAU
Long non-coding RNA from Cynoglossus semilaevis (tongue sole), 2933 nucleotides. RefSeq lists it as uncharacterized. The transcript has 2 exons. NCBI's taxonomy places the organism in Eukaryota, Metazoa, Chordata, Actinopteri, Pleuronectiformes, Cynoglossidae. The record is from RefSeq and is a predicted model, not a curated record.